Molecule: ribosomal RNA, 301 nt
Filed under: uncultured bacterium
Lineage: Bacteria
Description: partial 16S ribosomal RNA
Rfam family: Bacterial small subunit ribosomal RNA
Source: RNAcentral
CAGUCGCCGCGGGAAUACAGAGGAUGCAAGCGUUAAUCGGAAUUAUUGGGCGUAAAGCGAGUGCAGACGGUUACUUAAGCCAGAUGUGGAAUCCCCAAGCUUAACUUGGGACGUGCAUUUGAAACUGGGUGACUAGAGUGUGUCAGAGGGAGGUAGAAUUCCACAAGUAGCGGUGGAAUGCGUAGAGAUGUGGAGGAAUACCGAUGGCGAAGGCAGCCUCCUGGGAUAACACUGACGUUGAGGCUCGAAAGCGUGGGGAGCAAACAGGAUUAGAUACCCGGGUAGUCCCUGUCUCUUAUAU